This 38550-nucleotide long non-coding RNA is filed under the name Coffea arabica (coffee). Its description in RNAcentral is "long non-coding RNA (CARA_LNC004991)". Lineage: Eukaryota; Viridiplantae; Streptophyta; Magnoliopsida; Gentianales; Rubiaceae. The record is from RNAcentral.
UUAGAUGUAUUUCGGUUUGUCCAAAUUGUCUAUAUUCAAAUGAAAUUGACAAUGAUCAUACGUUACAAUCUUUCCAUUUAUGGCAAUUGUGGCCAAUUGGUCGAAUUAUAGAAGUCCAUUGCAUGUUUCACAUGGAGUGAUAAUAAAGUUUUGUUGAUUCCAUUGCGACUAGUGAAAAUUCGGGAAAAAUGAGCAGUGUCCAAACUUGACGACUCAGAGUAUCUAAAGCAAAAAUUGGAGGUGCAGUGAGAAAAUGUCAUAAGUUUUAGGUUCCAACUAUUAUUUUUUAAUAAAAUUUAGGACUGGCAUCCUACCUGACCCUUACAUGGAGUUUUCCCAAAAAAAAAAUGUCAAAAACUUUAUUGUUGUAAAGUGGAAGCAACCAUUAUGUGAAGACGUCGUAGGCAAAUGCCAGAUUGCAGCUAUCUUCCUCGAACAGAGGGGAGCUCUGAGGAAAAAGGGAGCAACUUAACCCACCUAGUCUUGCCUUUAGAAAGGAGGAAAGAUCGGAUACUGUGGCAGUUUAGAUAGUUAAAUAGGACUGGCAUCCUCUCUGACCCUUACAUGGAGUUUUUCCACAAAAAAAAAAAAGUAAAAAACUUCUUGUUGUAAAGUGGAAGCAACCUAUUAUGUGAAGACCUCGUAGGCGAAUGCCAGAUUGCAGCUAUCUUCCUGAAACUGCCUUUAGAAAGGAAUGCAGGAAAGAUCGGAUACCGUGGCAGUUUAGAUAGUUGAAUAGGAGUGGCAUCCUCCCUGACGCUUACAUGGAGUUUUCCCAAAAAAAAAAAAAGUCAAAAACUUUAUUGUUGUAAAGUGGAAGCAACCUAUUAUGUGAAGACCUCAUAGGCGAAUGCCAAAUUGCAGCUAUAUUCCUCAUAUGGAAAAAAAUCAAAAACUUUAUUGUUGUAAAGUGAAAGCAACCUAUUGUGUGAAGACCUCAUAGGCUAAUGCUAGAUGGCAAUUAUCUUCCUCAAACGGAGGGGGAGCUUAGAGGAAAAAGGGAGCAACUUAAUCCACCCAGUCCUGCCUUUGGAAAGGAAUGCAGGAAAAAUCAGAUACUGCAGCAGUUUAGAUAGUUGAAUAGGCCUGGCAUCCUCCCUGACACUUACACGGAGUUUUUCCAAAAAAAAAAAAAGUCAACUUUAUUGUUGUGAAGUGGAAGCAACUUAUUAUGUGAAGACCUCAUAGGCAAAUGCCAGAUUGCAGCUAUCUUCCUCAAACAGAGGGGGAGGUCAGAGGAAAAAGGGAGCGACUUAACCCACCCAGUCCUGCCUUUUAAAAGGAAUGCAGGAAAGAUCGGAUACUGUGGCAGUUUAGAUGGUUGAAUUCCAAAAAAAAAAAAAAAAAGUCAAACUUUAUUGUUGUGAAGCGGAAGCAACUUAUUAUGUGAAGUCCUCAUAGGCAAAUGCCAGAUUGCAGCUAUCUUCCUCAAACAGAGGGGGAGGUCAGAGGAAAAAGGGAGUGACUUUACCCACCCAGCCCUGCCUUUCAGGAAAGAUCGGAUACUGUGGCAGUUUAGAUAGUUGAAUUCCAAAAAAAAAAAAAGAAGUCAAACUUUAUUGUUGUGAAGUGGAAGCAACCUAUUAUGUGAAGACCUCAUAGGCAAAUGCAGAUUGAAGUGGAAGCAACCUAUUAUGUCAAACUUUAUUGUUGCAGUAGUUUAGAUAGUUGAAUAGGAUGCCGUCCCCCAAGAGGCUGGUGCCACGGAGUCUGCCAUCGCUUCAAAGGAUACUACUACUAAAUAAGAUGAUGUUGGCCAACCUCCUUAGCCGAAUCAGUCUCUGUUGCUUAAUUUACAGACUCCAUGUACUCACUUGAAAUGAAGCCAAACAAACUUCUGGAAUUGUCAAUUUCAUUUUCAGGUUGAAUAUCUUCUCAAGUUUCCAUCCCCAUUAAUUUUGCCACGGGUUGAGAUCAGGAAGAACAUAGAGCAUUACAACGUGGAUAGUGGAAGAAUUCUGAAAACUUUAUACCGGUAAACUUCUGGUCCUUUAUUUUAUAGAAAAAGCAUGUUUGCUCUUGUUAGCUAUAGUUUUUAAGUUUUUAUCCUUCCUUAAUUCAAGUAUUGUUAAUUAUGUUCUUAACCAUCCGUCAGCUCGUCAAAUUUUGGCAAUGAAGAUUUGUUAAGGUUGGCAGUCAGAGAUUUUAAUCACUGCCAACUCAUUCACCGCAAUGAACUGGAAGAAAUAGAAAGGUAUGUGGAAGAUUUGAACAUAUUAGCACUAUUUUGCCUUGCUUUUAUCAUGGUGAAUUAAUUUGUGAGUGAUUCUAGUGAAUGAUUGCACACCAAAACAAAUGAGUGAAUUGAAAAAUGUACACUGGUCGGGAAAAGUGAUGCAAUUUGAAAAUUUUGAACCAUGAACCACCAUGAUUAAAAAACUUUGUGAUGGACAAAUUUUUCAAAUAAAAUUCUUAUGUAUAAUGUGCUCAAAAUUUCUACCUUUCUAUACGUGUUCUUUGGACACUUUAGUUAAUUGCUUGAUCAACCACAUAGCGAUUCAAUAUGAAUUUAUUGACCACUUAUUGAUCCUAUGUUUGUACCCCAGUACGUCCUUAGAAUUGUUAAAAUGUUAUACAAUGACCAAAUCAUGAAUAUCAGAUUAAAGAUUACAAAAAUUUGCCUGCUAGGGCAGUUUGAACUUUGAUAAUUCUUGGCAAAUUUUUCCUGGUGAAUUUGGAUAAAAAAAUCGGGGUACAUAUCAACGCGAGUAUGGGUAAAAAGUUAAUUCUACCCUUAUCGGAAAUUAAACAAAAAGUUCACCAUUUGCCAAGAAAAAGAGAGAGAGUGAAAUAGAGUUGGCAAAUUUGUGCGGUCCAGAAUUAGAAAAAAGAGAGAUAUCAAAAGAAAUAGGGGUACAUAUCAAUGCCGAGUAUGGGUAAAAAGAGAGAGAUCAAAAGAAAUAAUUUGUGCGGUCCAGAAUUAGAAAAAAAAAAUAGAGUUUGUAUACCAAAUUUUGUAAAAAAUGUACAAUGAUAGCGUCAAUUACAUCAAAAGCAAACUGUACCUAUCCCAAUUUCCUCAAUAUAAGCGUACAGACAAGUUCAAUCAUGUCAUAUACAUGUCUAUAAUUAAUUGCAUACACAUGAAAUUCCAUUUGUUAUAUAAAUGAAUUGGUUGUAUUCAAAUCCAUUUUACUUCUCUUUCUCCACAGGUGGUAUACGCAGAAUAGAUUGCACGAACUGAAGUUUACAAGACACAAGGCUAUAUAUGGCUUCUUUUCUGCUGCAGCAACCAUAUUCUCACCUGAACUAUAUGAAGCCCGCAUGUCAUGGGCCAAAAAUUGUGUACUGACUACAGUGACUGAUGACUUCUUUGACGUGGGAGGUUCUGAGGAGGAACUAAGAAACCUUAUUGAUUUACUUGAACGGUGAGUCUCCCUGAUCCUCUUCUCACUAUUCUGAAAUCUGAACAUUCUUAGCCCCUAUACUAUGUAUAUAAUUUCCUAAGUAAUAAGAUAAUGUCUGCAAACUACAGGUGGGAUGUGAAUAUCAGCAGUGAUUGUUGCUCAGAUAUCAGCAGUGAUUGUUGCUCAGAGAAUGUCCAAAUCGUAUUUUCAGCACUGCGUAGUACCAUCUCUGAGACUGGAGAGAAAGCAAGCAAAUUGCAGGGACGCAAUGUAACAAGCCACACGAAAGAGAUUGUGAGAUGUCUACUUCUUUCAUCUUCUUGCUUCUUGCUAUUGUACUCUGAUGUAUGCGUAUGGGUCAUCCAGUUUGCUCUCUAUAAUAUAUGAUGACGAUUCUUUAAAUGGUUUAUUACAGUGGCUAGAAUUGCUCUACGGAUUUUUUAGGGAGUUUGAAUGGACUAGAGACAAGACGGUGCCAACAUUGGAUGAAUAUAUGGCAAAUGCUUAUGUAUCAUUCGCCCUGGGGCCGAUAAUGUUCCCUGCCAUUUAUCUUCGGGGGCCAAAGCUAUCAGAAGAAGUUGCUCGACAUCCUGAAAUGCGGUCCCUUUAUAAGCAUGUUAGCAAUUGUGGUCGGCUUCUUAAUGAUAUGCGCGGCUUUGAGGUAUAUAAGAUAUUUCUUCAUUGAUUUUUGCCGUGGAUUUUAUUACGUUCUUAUUAAUCGUGUUUUAUCUGCCAUCCUUCAAUUUUGAACCGAUUCUUAUUGAUAAUAUCUAUCACGCAGAGGGAAAGAAAGGAAGGUAAACUAAAUUCUUUGACUCUACGAUUGAGUCCAGAUGGUACGGUUAGUGAAGCAGCUGCAAUUGCAGAGGUGAAAUUGCUGAUAGAAAAUGAAAGGAGGAGACUGCUAAGAUUGGUUUUGCAGAAGGAUGGUAGUGUAGUUCCAAGAGCUUGCAAGGACAUGUUUUGGAAUCUAAGCAGAAUACUACAUCAAUUUUACUUCAACAAUGAUGGAUUUACAUCAGAAGUGGAGAUGGUUGAUCUCGUAAAGGCAAUUAUUCAUAAGCCAAUACCUUUGGAGGAUUUUGAAUAGCUUCGCUGAGGAUCAAACGAGUCCGGUUAUGGGAGGAGGUUAUGAUUGUUAGACACACACAAAUGGAGAUCCGAAUAACUGGGAUUUGAAAUUUGCCGUCUCGUGUACAGGUUUUUCAAUGUAGCUUCUCCAAAUAAUUAGGGCCAAGCUGCGUGUAUCCCUGGACUAUAGUGGGCUCGACACAGCUUGGGUUUAAACGUUGGACCAACAUUAAUCUUUAAUAAAGUUCAAUUCGAUUAAAGCCCAAUCUAGAUAAUUAUAUAUGUUGGUAUGCUAUGAUACGAUAUUUAUAUAUAUAUAUAUAUAUAUAUGUAUCAUUGAUAUAGUAUGUAUAUCAUAUAUUCAAAUUAAUGGUUUGUCUAAUAUAGGGUACUUGUUAAAAUAUAUUUCAAGUGUUAUAUUUUUGAAAAUAUAAGAUUAAUUUAAUUAGAAAAAUUAAAUAAAUACAAGGAAGGUAGGCAAAAUUAAAUAUAGAAAAUAUAUAAAUGUAAGAGAGGAUAAUAAUUAUUAGUAUGCUUCUAUAUAUGAUAGAUUAGGUGAAUAUUAAAUAUGUUAAUAAAUGCCUUAAGAGUACCUAUUAGAAAAAUUUUUAAAUUAAUUAUAUGUCUUAUUAUAUAUGCUAUUUAUAAGUCAUAUUUAAAUGUAUAAUAUUACAUAUUAGUCUCUCUAUCCUACUCUUAUUGUAAUAGUUUUCCCUUUUAACUAUUUCAAAAUUUGAAUUCGGCUACAAUUGUUCUGCUGACAUUCCUGUCUUACCCUUGAGAAGAGAUCAUGUAGAAUAGUUAAAAAUAUUUUAUUGGUCCAAUAAAAGUGCUUUUAUUGAGAGAAAAGAUUAAGGGGGCGCUUGGUUCUUGCUUUGGAAUUGGAAAUAGAAUAAUUCCUAGAGCGUUCACUAAUGAGGGUUUUGGUCAAUUCCUCCCAAUUUGGUCGGGAAUCAUGAAUGGCUAAAGUAUUUGUGUUUGCACAAUCCUCCAAUGAAGUAUGGAUAAUGUGACUAAGCCCCCUUUUAAAGUAGUUGUGUGAUUAGCUUGGAAAAACUAUUUUAGUGCUUACAAAUAACGUUUGAUUUUCAGAUAUUCUCAGAACUAGUAAUAGAAAAUGGGGGUGGUUGAGGAUAAAUAUUUUGUUUGGUUAUAUCAUACUCUGAGAAUUCCAUAACAAUUUGAAGUACAUAUGAUUGCAUAUAAAAGAAAUUGUAAUUGUAAUCCCAAAUUUGUUUUGGAUAACAUUAUUUUUGCAAUAAAUAUAUUUUUAGAUAAAAAUAAAGUAAGUAUGAAAAAAAAAAGAAUAACAUACAAAUGGAAUGGUAAGCAAAAUAGCUGAAUAACUGUUUUGUUAGGUUGGAGUGUGAUUGGUUAGUGAAUCCCAUACAAUUUGUAUGGUGGUUCUACUGGAUGUGAAAAGGCAUAAGAAGUGUUGGGCGUGUGCGUAGCGUUACAAUGGAAACGAAUCGCUGAAUCGGGGCCAUUUUUUUUUUGUUAUGAAACAUAAUAAAUAAAAGUUUCUUCUUAUUUUAGUAAUGGUAAUAAAUAAUAAAUGUAACCAUAUAUAAAGUAUGGAAUUAAUAAAUUGAAAUUUACUAUAAAUAAGGAAGCAUAGAAUAAUAGGAAAAAAUGAAAGUUUUUCCAAAUUUUAGUAAUGGUAAUAAAUUAUCAAUCCAAUAAUAGGAAUAGAGAGUGUGAAUAUAGAGAAUUAAACUUGAAAAACUAAUUGACAAAAAAAUUAAGGCAUAAAUUAUAAAAAUGUAUAUACAAUAGGUAAUUUAUAGAAUUUUGAAAUUUACUAUAAAUACAGGAGUAAAAAGGGACUGUGAUUUAUUAUUAUGUAAAAUAAAUAAAUAAAUAAUAAAAUCUGCCAAGAAACAUAAGCAAACACAAUUUUUUCCAUAUGGCAAAAAGAUAAAAUUGUCAUUUGACAAAAUACAACUAAUUUACCAACUUGCUAAAAUGAAAAGUGAAUAGCGAAUUAAUAUAUUUAUAUAUUAAUAAAAAUAUAUAUAUACACACAUGCACACAUAUGUGUGUGUAUGUAUUUAUGUAUGUAAGUCAUGAAUCUUCUAAAGAUGAAGGUGUACGUAAAAACUAUCUACGUGAAUGAGUGUUAACGUGGCAUACUUUAACCAAAUUUUAGUAAUAAAAAUAAAUACUCAAACCAAUAUUAUGAAUAAGGGAUAAUAUCAUAAACCUCUCCUGAAGUUCUCUUAAUAUCACCUGGCACCCCUAAGGUUUUAAAAAUAUCAUUUAUCUCUCUUACUUUUGUUAUUUGUGUAGUAAAAUUUUGAAAAUCCUAAACUACCCUUCUACUUGCUAAAUAAAUAUAAUCCUAAACCACUUUAUUUACUUCAACAAAACCAUCACCUGAAAAACAAUCUCUAGUAGUAUUACCACAUCAUAAUGCUAUAGUCCAUAAAAAUAUGAUUUUAAAAAAUAAAAAAAUAUUUGCUGUGAGACCCCGUAAAUUUUCUCAUUUUUUAGGUUUUAUUCUAUUUAAUGGCAUGCUUUUCUAUAUUUUUUAUUAGGAAAAUUUUCUAGAUAGAUUUUAUGAGUAAAUAUAGUUUUUAGAUGAUUUUUCUAGUAUCGUUAGUUUUUGAGAAAUUAAGAACGUAUACCAGACGUGGGACCCGCUAGUGCGAAAAAUUCGGUAAAAUUCGGCCAGUUAGGUUAAGUGUUGGAUACCGAGUUUAUUUUAUCUGGUGUUAAGAGAUAAUUAGAGGUUCCUAAGUGGAUUGGUGUAAGAGGAACAAAGGAUAACCAUGUAUUAAUUGAAGUGACAAGUGUCACUUGGUGACUAGCCCUUGGACUUUGACCACACUAUUCACUACUUUACCAAUUUAAUCAAAAAUUAAUACAUGGGGUGCAAUCAACUUCAUCCGAAAUUAAGCAAAAGUAAUGCCCUCUUAAAGAAAUUUACAUUUCGCAAGCCCUUACCAAAAGUGUCCUUGAAGUUCCAUGGAAAUUAGAUUUUCAGCUACACAUGGUGCUAUAUUGGAGUUAAAUUGGCUAGGCAAGUUGAUGGUCUAGAUAUUGAAUGCUGAAAACAUUACAACUACUUAUGAAUUUAGGUGUAAUUAAUUGCAUACACAUGAAAUUCCAUUUGUUCUAUGAAUCAUUUGGUUGUAUUCAAAUCUAUUUUACUUGUCUCUUUCUCCACAGGUGGUAUGCAUGGAAUAGAUUGCACAAACUGAACUUUGCAAGACAGAAGGCUAUGUCUUGCUUCUUUUCUCUGCUGCAGCAAAUAUUUUCUUACCAGAACCACAUGAAGCCCGUAUGUCAUGGGCCAAAAAUAGCGUACUGACUACGGUGGAUGACAUCUUUGACGUAGGAGGUUCCGAGGAGGAGCUAAACAAACUAAUUGAUUUAGUUGAAAAGUCUCCUUGAUCAUCUUCUCACUAUUCUGAAAUCUGAACGUUCUUAGCCCCUGUAUAAAUAAUUUCCUAAGUAAUAAUAUAAGAUCCGUAAACUACAGGUGGGAUAUGAAUUUCAGCAGAGAUUGUUGCUCAGAGCCUGUCCAAAUUUUAUUUUCACCAUUACAUAAUGCCAUGCCUGAGAUUGGAGAGAAAGCAAGCAAACGCCAAACGGCAGGCCGCAGUGUAACAAGCCACACGAUUGAGAAUGUGAGAUGUCUACUCCCUUCAUCUUCUUGAUUCUUGUACUUGUACUAUGCGUAUGGAUCAUCCAAUUGGCGCUCUGUAUAAUAUACGAUGACAAUUAAUCUUUUAAAUGGUUUGUUGCAUACUACGGUUCAAAGACUCGGUCGAGCUGUCAUCGGAACAAGGCUUUCCGUUCUGAUAUUAGGACGAGAUGAUUCUGAGGUAAUAGAUUGCCGAGAACUCAGUCUAGUCACCAAAAACUUGGCCGAGACGUUUCCGAGACGGAUGAAAACGGCCAAAUUGUCCUGUAUCAUUUCGAGUCAAUUUAAAAUUUUAUUAUUUUUGCUAAAUUUUUGUUAUUUUUGUUUAUCAUUUUUUUUACAAUUUUUAGAAUAUUAAAUGUUUCAAAAAUUUACAUUUCACCGAGACCGACGACGACCAAUUUGUCGAGACCGAUGUGAAACGGUUCAAACCACAACUGCGACCGCAGCUUUGAACCAUGGUUGCAGUGGCUAGAGAUGCUCUACAUGAUGUUAAGGGAGUUUGAAUGGAAUAGAGAUAUGAAGGUCCCAACAUUGGAUGAAUACAUGACAAAUGCUUAUGUAUCAUUCGGCCUAGGGCCGAUUAUCUUCCUUACCAUUUAUCUUCUGAGGAGAGGUUGUUCGCCAUCCUGAAAUGCAGUUCCUUUUUAAGCUCGUUUGCACUUGUGGUCGGCUUCUCAAUGAUAUGCGCAGCUUUGAGGUAGAAAUUUCUCCAUUGAUGUUUGCCAUUGAUGGUUUUUUUUUAAAAUUUUAUUGGUUAGGUUCUUAUUGAUUGUGUUUAUCUGCCAUCCUUUAAUAAUUGUGAACUAAUUUUUAUUGAUAUGAUCACAAUCAUAGAGGGAAAGAAACGUUGGUAAACCAAAUUCUGUCACUACGCCUAAGCCAAGAUAGUGCUUUUUGUUACUGAAGCAGCUGCAAUGGCAGUGGUGAAGUUGCUGCUAGAAAAUGAAAGGAGAAGAUUGUUGGAAAAAUGGCUAUAUCCUGUUGGAAAAAUGGCUAUAUCCAUUGUAGAGUGAAUGAGAAAAUUGUUCUCAUAAUUGCACUCUUGAAAGAAUCCAAGUAUAAUUAUCUAUCAUUCAUUCAUGUACAUAGGAUUCAUGUAUAUUAAUUAUUGAUACAUGAUUUUGGAUAGGAUUCAUGUACUUAAUACAUGAUUUUGGAGUUAUCUUAUUGAAAUACAUGAAUGUACAUGAAUGUGGUACUUUGAUAAACGUGAAGAUAAUUAUCUGAAAUUUAACACUUGUUGUCAAUUUCUAACAGUCACCCUUGACCAGCAUCUAUAAAUAUCUCUUUUUUGUUUUAAAAGAAAAAAAAUGCUCUCUCUAUUUUUCCUUCUUGCAUAUUCAUCUUUUAUAGUGUUCCAUAUUGCUUUAGUUCGAGUUUGCUGUGGUGAAAAAAGUUUGGUGCUGACAUAUUCAUCUUUAAUCUGUUGUAUCUUGGAGACACACGCCUACUUAACCUCGAGCACUCUACCUAGAGGGGGCGAAUCUGUUUUAAGGAAAUUGUGCUCACAAGUCUCGGAUUUUAUUAUUGUUAUUUUCGAUCAUUUCUUUUUUUCUAGAUUGUAUUUAUUCUUCUCUAUAGGGUAUCAACCUAUUUUUAUUAUUUAACUAACAGUCUUAAAAUAGAUUUGUUCUCCAUGACUGACUUUCUAGGAAGAAAAACCAACAAAUCUACUGUUGAUGCCUCUGCCUCUGGCACAAUUGUGAAACAACCUGAAGGAAAGAUUACUCCUAUGGUUUCUACCAACCAUAGUGAGAAACCUGAGAAGUUCCAUGGCUCGAACUUCAAGACAUGGCAACAAAAGAUGUUGUUCUAUUUGACAACAUUGAAUCUCUCGAGAUUCUUAAGUGAGGAUGCUCCAAAGCUGCCUGAAGGCUUAACUGAUGCACAAGCUGUCAGUGCUAUUGAUGCUUGGAAGCACUCCGAUUUCCUUUGUCGAAAUUAUGUCAUGAACCUGACUGCUAUGGUUUCUGAAGUAAAUAUGAUAGGGUCAAAUCUGAAAGAAUAGUGGAUUGACACUGGAGCCACAAGACAUGUUUGCACAAACAAAGGCCUGUUCACUACCUUCGAAAAAAUUGAAGGUGAAAAAUGUUCAUGGGGAACUCUGCCUCAUCUGCUAUUGAAGGUCAAGGGAAGGUGUUGCUAAAGAUGAUUUCUGGCAAAACAUUGACUUUGAACGAUGUUCUGUAUGUGCCAGAAAUUCGAAGAACCUUGUUUCUGGAUCGUUGCUGAACAAGCAUGGCUUUCGCAUGAUUUUUGAAUUGGAUAAAGUUAUAUUAUCCAAAUCUGGAUGUAUGUAGGGAAAGGAUAUACAAACGAUGGGUUGUUCAAAUUGAAUGUAAUGACUAUUGUGAAUAAUAAGAAUAAGUCUUCUGCUUAUUUGCUUGAGUCUUCCAAUUUAUGGCAUGGUAGACUAGGUCAUGUUAAUUAUGAUACUUUGCGUAGACUAAUUAACUUAGAUCAUAUUCCUUCCUUUCACAUCAAUUCAAACCAUAAAUGCGAGAUUUGCGUAGAAGCAAAAUUAACAAGGUCAUCUUUUCAAACAAUUGAAACACCGACCCCUUGAAUUGAUUCACACAGAUAUCUGUCAUUUGAAAUUUGUUCAAACAAGAGGUGGUAAUAAAUAUUUUAUCACUUUCAUUGAUGAUUGCACAAAAUACUGUUAUGUGUAUUUGCUCAAAAGUAAAGAUGAAGCCUUGGAAAAAUUCAUUCUCUACAAGAAUGAAGUUGAAAAUCAACUUAAUCGAAGAAUUAAAAGGUUAAGAAGUGAUAGAGGUGGUGAAUAUGAAACAUCUAUUGGUGAUUAUUGUGCAAAAUAUGGAAUUGUUCAGGAAGUAACUGCACCUUACUCACCUCAAUCAAAUGGUGUUGCUAAACGAAAAAAUCGCACAUUAAAGGAAAUGAUGAAUGCGGUGUUAAUAAGUUCAGGAUUACUUCAAAAUAUGUGAGGUGAAGCUAUUUUGUCAAGCAAUUACCUUUUAAAUAGGGUACCCCGAAAAAAACAAAAUAAAACUCCUUAUGAGUUAUGGAAAGGUAGGAGACCAUCCUACAAAUACUUGAAAGUGUGGGGGUGUCUUGCAAAAGUGGCUAUUCCAGCACCAAAGAGAAUAAAGAUAGGUCCUAGAACUGUGGACUGUAUCUUUAUAGGCUAUGUACAUAAUAGUGCUGCUUAUCGAUUUCCUGUGUAUAAUUCAGAAAUUUCGAAUAUACACAAAAAUACGAUAAUGGAAUCAAGGAAUGCUUCAUUUUUGAAGAUGUGUUUCCUUGUAAAUCGAAGGGUGCAUCAAGUUCAUCAAAACAAACACAUGAAGGAAUGCUUCAUUCUUUGAAGAUGUGUUUCCUUGUAAAUCGAAUGGUGCAUCAAGUUCAUCAAAACGAACACAUGAAGUUAUGAAUCAAGAAAAACAUGAUCAUGACUUGAUUCAACAAGAUGAACCGAGACGUAGCAAAAUAGAGUGAAAAAAUCAUUUGGAGAUCAUUUCACAACUUUUCUAUUAGAAAAGGAACCACAAACCUAUACAGAAGCUGUAAGUUCUUCUGAAGGAUUUUUGUGGAAAGAAGCAAUGAAAAGUGAGGUUGAUUCUAUUUUAUAGAAUCAUACAUGGGAGUUAGUGGAUCUUCCUCCUGGUUGUAGACCUUUAGGGUCCAAAUGGAUCUUUAAAGGAAAAUGAAAUCUGAUGGCUCUGUCGAUAAGUACAAAGCCAGACUUGUAAUCAAAGGAUACAAGCAACAAAGAAGGUUUGGAUUAUUUUGAUACUUAUUCUCCUGUUACGAGAAUAAAUUUUAUUAGAAUGUUGCUAUCACUGCAUUGAGAAAUCUAGAGAUACAUCAAAUGGAUGUAAAGACAGCUUUCUUAAAUGGUGAUUUAGAUGAAGAAAUCUACAUGGAGCAACCUGAGGGUUUCAUAACUCUGGGAAAAGGAAAUAAAGUUUAUAAAUUAGUAAAAUCAUUGUAUGGACUAAAAUAAGCGCCAAAGAAAUGGCAUGAAAAGUUCGACAAUGCAAUGAUAACUAAGAUACAAAAUAAAUGAGUGUGACCAAUAUGUCUACACUAAAGAAACAGAACAUGGCUAUGUCAUCUUAUGUCUUUAUGUAGAUGACAUACUUAUUGUUGGUAGUAAUGACAAAUGGUUAAGUCUACAAGGACAUGUUGAAUUCAAAAUUUGACAUGAAAGAUAUGGGGCUUGCUGAUGUAAUUUUACGAGUUACAAUUACAAGAAUACCAGACGGCUUGGUCUUGAGCCAGAAACUCAUUAUGUGGACAAGAUUCUGGAAAAAUUCAAUAAGGAUGAUUCUGGAAUUGCAAGAACUCCAUUAGACAAUAGUUUCCCAUCUAUCUAAGAAUAGAGGAAAGAGUAUUUCUCAAGUAGAAUACUCAAGAAUCAUUGGCAGUCUAAUGUAUUUAAUGAGUUGUACUAGACUUGACAUUGUAUAUGCAGUGAGCAAAUUGAGCAAAUUUACAAGCAAUCCGAGUGCUGAUCAUUGGAAAGCAAUUUCAAGGGUACUUAAAUACCUACGGUACACUCGGAACUAUGGACUGCAUUACACUAGAUACCCUGCUGUUUUAGAAGGGUAUGCUGAUGCAAAUUGGAUAUCUGAUAUAAAAGAUUCAAAAUCCACAAGUGGAUAUGUGUUCACACUUGCAGUUGGGCAGUAUCUUGAAAGUCUUCUAAACAAACUAUUGUAACUAGAUCUACAAUGGAAUCUGAGUUCAUUACCUUGGACAAAUGUGGAGAAGAAGCUGAAUGGCUACACCAUUUUCUUGAAGACAUUCCAAAAUGGAAAAAACCUGUGCCACCAAUAUGCAUUCACUAUGAUAGUCAAUCAGCAAUUGGAAGAGCACAGAAUAACAUAUAUAAUGGUAAGUCUAGACAUAUACGUCGUAGGCAUAAUACCAUUAGACAACUACUCUCAACAGGAGUUAUCUCUAUUGAUUAUGUGAAAUCAAAGGAUAACAUAGCGGAUCCGCUAACCAAAGGAUUGAAUAGAGAGUUGGUUGCAAAAAUGGCAAAGGGAAUGGGACUAAAACCCAUGGAAGGCUAAGUGUUAUAAAGGAAACCCAACCUAGCUGACUGGAAAUCCCAAUAUCUAGGUUCAAAGGGACAACCUAAUUAUAAGGACUUAGCAUAGUUAUUGUGGGAGGAUAUCCCUAGACCCAUUCCAUAAUGAAACAUUGACGCAAAGGAGAAUUAAAGAUAGCACAAUGGUGUGCUUUAAUGAUUCUUAAGUGAAGUAAUUAAUUAUUGGAGACUUAAGUAAAUCACCUAUGUGAGAGUGAAAUGGAGCCGCUUCAAAAGAGAAUUGUUUAGGGCUCAAUUCUUAAAAAACUCUUGCUGAAUCAGGUUGAUGUUCAUGGCCAAAACGAACAUAACUAUGAGAACUAAACUAAUGGAGCCAUUUUUUCAACAAUCCCCACAUGAAUGGAAAAAUUGUUUUGAUUUGACUCUACAGUAGUGUUCCACGACUGAAACCUGCAUAAGAUAGGUUGGUGUUACCCGUUGAACCUUCUCUUGUGAAAUACACUUACUUUACUAGCAAUCCAGUAGACAUGAUGUCUUUGAACUGUCCUGUUUUUAAUGUAAAUGAACCAUAUCCUGUUGAAAAAAUGGCUAUAUCCAUUGUAGAGUGAAUGAGAAAAUUGUUCUCAUAAUGGCACUCUUGAAAGAAUUCAAGGAUAAUUAUCUAUCAUUCAUUCAUAUACAUAGGAUUCAUGUAUAUUAAUUAUUGAUACAUGAUUUUGGAUAGGAUUCAUGUAUAUUAAUUAUUGAUACAUGAUUUUGGAUAGGAUUCAUGUACUUAAUACAUGAUUUUGGAGUUAUCUUAUUGUUAUCUUAUUGAGAUACAUGUAUGUACAUGAAUGUGGUACUUUGAUAAACGUGAAGAUUAUUAUCUGAAAUUUAACACUUGUUGCCAAUUUUUAACAGUCACCCUUGCCCAGCAUCUAUAAAUAUCUCUCUUUUGUUUCAAAAGAAAAAAGGCUCUCUCUAUUUUUCCUUCUUGCAUCUUCAUCUUUUAUAGUGUUCCAUAUUGCUCUAGUUCGAGUUCGCUGUGGUGAAGAAAGUUUAGUGCUGACAUAUUCACCUUUAAUCCGUUGUAUCUGAGAGACAGACGCCUACUUAACCUCGAGCACUCUACCUGGAGGGGCGAAUCUGUUUUAAGGAAAUUGUGCUCACAAGUCUCGGAUUGUUAUUAUUGUUAUUUUCGAUCAUUUCUUUUUUUUUUAGGUUGUAUUUAUUCUUCUCUAUAGUGUAUCAGCCUAUUUUUAUUAUUUAACUAACAAAGAUUGCUAAGAGUGGUUCUGCAACAAGAUAGUAGUAUAGUUCCAAGGAAAUGUUUUCAAAGUCUAAGCAGAACACUAAAUCAUUUUUACGUAUAUAAUGAAAUAUGAAGGAUUUUAAAUGGAGCCGGGUGGCUCCAGUAAACUGGGGCCGAGCCUUGUAUUAUUGGGCACAAUAGAUUUUAAAUAUUAGGUCAGAUUCAACUAUCAGUCGGGCCUAGUCAUACUUUUCCUCAACGUGAUUAAAGCCCGAUCUAGAAAAUUAUAUUAUUAUAGUAUGUUGAUGCGAUAGGUAGAUACUGUGACAGCCCCACCUUCCCCUAAGGCAAACCAAAAGAGUUAGCGGAUUGCCUGCCCAACUCUCGCCAGGACUAACGGUGCAGUUUAGAGCGAUCUAUUGCGUUCCGGAACUUAUAACGCGCGUAAACAAGUCAAAAUGACAAAAUAACCCAAAAUACAAAAAAAUGAAAUCCGGAGUCGACCAUGAAUAGUAACCGACCCGUCAGAACCCAAUCAAACAUCAAAAUACAUAUACAACAUAACAUUUAGUAUUUACAAGCCAAAAUGGCAUACAAAAGUGAUACAAAAGUUACUACAUGUAUGGUUUGCCAAAAUCAAAGUGAAACGACUCUAAAGGUACAUUUAGGGUUUCGAUUCAUAAGCUACACAAAAGAGACAUUCAUUUAGCUCAUUCGGCAACCAACUAGCAAGAAUCAUUCCAAAAGUAGUCAUAUGCCUGUAAGGAAAACAAAAGGAACGGUGUGAGCUAAUUGCCCAGUGAGAUACUACCACUUAAGCAACCAAGUUCAUGUACUCAUACAGCUUUUCAUUUCAAUUCGCCAAAAGUAAAUAAAGGCACACAUUAAUGGUGGUGAUAAAAGGAUACGGGUGGCUCUCAAGAGCCCUUUUCCCUCGUUUGCAUUUCUUGAUCGGACGUCAUUGACUCUCCGUCAAUGUUCAAAAGUAACCAACCGUAGACUCUAUUUUACUUCCAUUCCUUCCACCUAACAUUCCCCUACCGGCCCGAAAUCCAAACACUUGCAUUGUGGUAUUACUCGAGUAAACCGGAAUCGAGAGUCUCUCAUACUACAAGAUUCCAUAUAACAUUUCCCCAAGGAACAUCAAUUUACACGACCAAGUCCUCGCCGGCUCGAUUCAAUCAAUUAUCAAUGGGGUUGAGUUCGAGGAUAACAAUUGUAGUCGUUGGAUACUCGUCCAAACGACACCAAGUCAUGUAUUUUUAUUUCAUGUAACAUUUCAUAUAACAUUUCAAGAACAUGAUAAACAAUAAGUGAGAGUGAUAAAGUAUGCUCUCACUUCAAUCAAUUAACAUUCAACGUAUCAAUUUCAAAUAUCAAAGCCAUAUAGUAACACACAAGUGAGUAGUACACUCAUCAAGCUUGCAAAUGGUGUUUCAUGCACUUCCGUCAAAAGAACGUCGUGAACCACCGUCACGCCCUAAAACAUACAAACAAGUACAAUGAGACUCGAUAACGAGUCCUAAACCAAUGCCAAAUACGACCACAAUAGGGUUCCAUAAGCAUAUACAAGCAUUAGAGGAAACCAGAAAAUCCGGAAAUGCAAUUAGCUUUGCCCUGAAAAAAACAGUUUUUGAUCUCAUUUUGCGGUAAUGGCACCAAAGGCACUACGAUUAUUGGAUGACGGUGCAAGACCCACCGUUUUGAAACUAAGAAACAGGGCUACAAUAUUACAGAAGGUCACUCAGCCCAGUUCUGAGUGCAAACAGGUCAAAAACGCAAGAUACUACACUAGAACCGCAAAAACAGAUUCACAAACCACAUUCUGCUGGAAAUAGCAUAACUCAGCCUAAUUAAGUCCAAAUCCAGAAAUUCCAAAGCCAUCCAAAAGCUUAGAAACAGGGCUACAUUUCAUCAGAAGACCUCAACAACAAAUUCCGAAGCAAUGCCAAUCAAAACACCCAAUUACAGGCGCAAUUCUUACAUUCGGGUAAAACCAGGGCAGAAUGUUCCCAAUAAAACCCUAACUUUCUAAAAUUUCUUCCAAACCAGAAAUUGGUUGCAAUUAAUCACUUUUUCCACCUUCUAGAGUCAUUAAACAUCAUUUCCAAUCAUCAUAGAUAGCCACACAAUCAUGUUCAUAUUAAAAUAGAAAAAUCACCAAUAAAUAUAAAACUUCACUAAUUCAACCACAAAUCAAGAUGUAAUCCAUAAUAUUGCAUCUUAUACCACCACUAAUCAUGAUUUAAGCAUCAUUAGAGGAAGGAGAGCGGUUCUUCACAACUCACCUUAGAAACAAGAGAGAGAGAGAGCAAUUGGUCCUCUUAGCUUUCCAAAUAACUCCACACAACACCUCACUAACACUUACUUAAGAUUUUCUAUGGAACAAAAGUAAGAUUAAAUGGUUGUUUUGUUGAUUUGGAGCAAGAUGGGAUCAAGAACUUGGAGAGUUUCUUCCUUUUUUUUUUGAGAGAGAGGGCCGGCCAAGAUGAAGAGCAAAAUGGUGAAAUUUUUGGUUAAUUUUGUGAUUUAUUUGGUCAAAUAGAAAAGGUGAAUAGUGGUCUUAUAUAAGAAGCAAUCCUAUGGUGACACUUGUCACCUCAUUUAAUGACUUGCCUAACUUUUGUCUCUCUUAUACCAAUCCACUUAGUAUCCUCUACUUAUCUCCUAACACCCGAUAAAUUAAUUUCAGUAUCCAAAACUUAAUCUAGUUGGCCGAAUUUUUCCGAACUUUUCGUCCUAAUGGGUCCCACAUCCGGUAUACAUUCUUAAUUUCUCAAAACCUAUUCGAUACUAGAAAAAUCAUCCAAAAACUAUAUCCGCUCAUAAAAAUUAUCUAGAAAAUUUUCCUACUAAAGAAAAUGCAGAAAACAAGCCAUUAAAUAAAUAAAACCCUAGAAAAUGGGAAAAGUACGGGUUCUCACAGAUACGAAUGUAUAUAAAUACACAUAUACAUAUAUAUAUAGAUUAAUUUUAUAUAUACUGUUAAUGUAUACACUAUUACUAUUAGACAUUUAACACAUGUGCAAAUUUUGAAUUUGAAAAUACACUAUCACCAUUAGAUAUAUGAUACAUGUACAAAAUUUAAAUUUGAAAUUCAAAAUUUGCUCAUGUGCCAUCCAUCUAACCGUGAUAAUGUAUACACUGAUAUUGCAUAAAAUUUACUAUAUAUAUAAUUAAAUAUAUAUUAUGAUAUAUACUAUUUAUAAUUCAUAUUUAGUUGUAUAAUACUAUAUAUUAAUCUCGCCAUCCUAUUUUUAUUGUAAUAUUUCACCUUUUUCACUAUUCCAAAGUUUGAAUCAUGACAUAAUUUUUAUCUGGUAUUUUUAUUUUACCCUUGAAAAGUGAUCAUACAGAAUAGUUAAAAAUACAUUUUAAAAUUAGAUCGGCGAGAGAACCGGCUUAGUGUUCGGUACUCAAUUUUACCGGUUCAAUUGAUUCAAUCGGCCAGAUCACUAGUUUGUUUUUAAUUAAUCAAAAAAAGGAAAAAAAAUGGAAAGUCUAUAUUCUGCCAGCAUUCAUGACGAACCAAUGAGGGCAUCAUUUCUGCAAUGAUAGUUUCCAAGUAUCAACACUUCAUUCUUUUUAUUUUUCUUUUUUGCAUGAUUGGUUUCUUGGAUUUGCACAAGACGUCAAAAUAAAACAAAAAAACUUUAAAAAAUCUAACAAUUUAAAAGAAAUUUUAGAAGAACUUGAAAAUUUGUUGAUUAAUCCGUUAAUUGUAAGAAAAAGUUCAUCUUAAUUCCAAAACAGAUAUAUAUAUAUAUUUAUAUAUAUAUCUUACAUAUAUAAAGGGCGAAUGGCUUGUGAACAGUGCCUAAUGGUCCGGUUAUCCUGUGAUUUGUUGUGAGCUUGAGGGGUGUUUAGGUCUUUGGCAUUGAGUGGCAAUGGUUUUGCUGGAAACUCACUACUGUCCACGUGUGAUUCUUGGAUUGGAGCAAUUUUAGCGGUCAGCAAUUUCGGCCUUGUUUCCUCUCAUUAUUUUCUUGGCUUUCUUUACCAGGUGUCCAAGCAAUUUAGGCGAUGAGUUCAGAGUUCAGACGUGUAUCUAUAUCUUCAUUGUAUAAUUAUAGUUGCUUCAACUCCCCUGGUGAGUAGGCGGUGGAUGGUGUCCAAAGCGGUCUGUGGGAGAAGCACAAAGCUCUCUUGCUUAUGUAAUCUUGAGAGAAAUCCAUCUAAAAAUCAACAUAUUGGAUGUGUUUCUUUCUCCAAUUGAAGACCUGGAUUUGGCGGUUUUGCAAGGUGAAGUCUUCACACUCUCACCUAGCUGAUCUUGUGAGCAAGCCAUCUCAAAAGCAAUUUCUUCUUCCAAUUAAAAGCUUCGGGUUCCAUAAUUUCGCGAGGUGAACUCUUUGCUUCAUUUCUGCCUUUUGGCCUUUUUUCCUUAUAAUGAGAGGCCUAAUGAGUCAAAAUGUUUGUUCGAAUCAUUGCAAUGGUUCACCGAAGGGGGUUAAAAAUUUUAGAGAUAUUUUAUAGGUUUCAACUGUUGUGAAAGGGAAGCCAUUAUUAGACUUGCUAUGGCCAUCUUGCUGCAUGAUUAUGGUUUUUCUAGUGAUCAAUUUUAUGUUUUGUCCCAUUUGAAAGAAUUUGCAGAACAAUUUAGUGCAUAUGAUGUAUAUACAGGGAUUUGUCUAAUGCAUUGAUUACGCAUUUUAAGUAUGGUUUUGGCCUCAAUAAAAGGCCUAUCUGUCCUUCAAAUUUCUUUCAUUUAAUAUGAAUAUGUAUGGUCUUUGUUGGAUAUAUUUAGUUAGACCAAGUGAUGUCAUCCCGUAUUGUACAAAAUUAUAUCUGACAGCUGUACUUGUUUAACCUAGCACAAAUUAAUCACUUUUACGGCAUGGUGAAAAUAGAGAUUGAAGGUAAAACGAAAAGAGAUCCCAUCCAAUUAAUGAUUUUUUUCUUGGUUGAUUAGGUAAUUGUUAAUCAUUCAUUUUUUAUCUGCUCUAAAUUAAAGGUAAGCAUAUCUCCCGUGCCAGCAUCACUUGUAUGCACAAAUUCAUAAUACUCAUAUGUAGGAUCAAGUUUGCUCUUAUGCAAUUAUGUCUUGAUGUCUUGUCUUAUUGAAUUAAAAUUACUGGCUACUCUCAAAGGCCAUUAAUUUCAAAGUAAGAUUAUUAUAGAAUUUACUGGCUUGUCCAAAUUGGACCAUGUAAUAACCUAUUACAAUUAGUUUAUCUUUAUUGUUCUAGCAAAAAAAAUCUCGUUGCAUUGACUGUUAGAUCGUUGAUAAUUUAUUGCAGCUAUGAAAUACUAAUAUAUCAAUACUAAUAUGUUGUAUCGAUAUCUCACUUUAAGUCAAUUAGUAGUCCAAGUCCAGUAGGUAUAAAAAUCUCUUCAACUUCAUAAAUAAAUUGAGUAAACGAAUAACGACAACAACCAAUUUACCUAAAGUCAAAUUCUGCAUAGUUACUAGCACCCAUCAUGUAUUUAAUAUAUAAUCAUUUUAUAUUAAUUCACUUGCCUUCACUUGAUCUUGUUUAACACAGAUGGAAAAAAAACUAGUAUAUAUAUAAGGUACUACAAACCGCACAAAAUGCCCAAAAAAAUUUUUUACAAUCACCAUUCUUAUGUGGCCAUCAUAAUCUUUAUCACCACCAAUGAGAGCUCCCUGCUUAAAUAGUUCCAAACCUGCAACUAGCCCAAUUUUAUCAUCAUCUUUACCAUUUAAAAUAAAAAAAAUUAAAAGAAAGAAAACUUAGAACAUUAUGGUGAUGGGAGAAGUGGAGACAACAAGAGUGGUUGUGGCAGAUAUGAUUGAUUACUGAGGCAUAUUAGGACUCUUCUCUUAAGUUGAUUUGGGUGUUUUGUAUUUAGCCCCUUGAGUAGAAUCAAGGUUCCGUUUGAUAAAACUGAAUCUGAAUUCUAAAGUUUGAAUUCUGAAAUCUGAAUACUGAAACAAUUAAUUUGCUGAAUUUUAAGUACUGAAAAGAAAUAUAUGAAUGUCUGAAUUUUAAUGCUAAACCUAUUUAUACUGUUUGAUAAAUAUUUAUAACUGAAUGUUUAAUAAGUUAAAUUUGACAAUUUUGCCCUUAUAUCUUUUCAUCCAAAAAAGAAAUAGAACCUAUGAUUUAAUUAGUUAAAAAUGUUAGGUAUGAAAAUGACAAUAUUUAUUUUUAAAUCAAAUUAAUAUAAAAGAUGAAUUUUAUUAUAUGAGGAGUAUGGAGAAGAAGUGAAAGUCAUUCAAAAGGGAGGAAAAAAGAAAUAGAAAAUCAUUAGAUAGAGAACAUUAGGUUGUUUAAUUAUAUUAGAAUUUUGAACAUAAUUAAUAAACAAUGGUAGAUUUGGUAGAUAAGAUACAGUAGUUGAAAUAAUUCUAUUGGUUCUUAUCAAAAGUAAGCAUUCAGUUAGGAUUUUUGUGCUAAAAAAAAUACACACAAGUUCAGCACUACUUAACAAGUUCAGCAAAUGAAUUUUUAUUUAUCAAACACUCAAAACAUCUGAAUAGUUGAAAAAAUUCAGAUUCAACACUUUUUUAUGUUAUCAAACAGACCCCAAGUGUUGUUUCAGUACAACUAUUGGCCUUUGGUAGUCCCAAAAAAAUCAGUUCAGCAGCCUAAAUAUUUGAUAAGUCCAGUAGUCCAACACAAAUUAAAAAACCAGACUUGACCAGUUCAACUGGUUUUUACCAAAUUUGACUGGAUUUUUGUCAUUUUCUGUUUUUCCAUUCAAUCAGACCAGUGUCAUGAUUGGUUUUCAAUUCAGUCGAUCAGUCCGGUUCGAAUUUUAAAACCCUCAUUGAAAGAAAAUGUUAGUAUGAUAGGCAUUGCAAAUUUUUGCAGUUAGAUUCCAUACAUGUUUCUUACCUCCCUUAAAAUGAGUUUGAAAUGAUGUGGGACUUGUCGAACAUUUUCUCACAAGAAAACUAACACUAAAUGCAUUUUCAUAAAGUAAAUGGGCAAAGAUGAAACAAGCAUCUGAAAUUCAAACUUGUUUCAAAUCGUACAUAAGAAGUUGGAAUGUGAAAAGCUUCCAUUUUAUCAUGAAAUAAGGGGUAUCAUAAUAUAUAUCCUUAAAGUUUAUUCAUUCAAUGAAUUUUGAAUUGGAUGAUGGCUUUAUGGAGUUCUUUUUUGUUUCAAUUUUGAUGGAGCAAUGGAAAUUAAUUUUUAUCACAUUGAACAUAUAAUUGAGGGCAAUUGAAAAUUUGAGAAUGGAGGUAAGGAUUUUCUGCAAGUUCUUAUCAAAGAGCUUACGAGAAGAAGCAUAAUGGGAAAAGGAGAAGCCAUUUGCAGCAAAGCAUUUAUGGAAAAGGGAAUUGUGAUGAGAAAGGUGCAAGGAAAAACAACAAAUGAAGCAGGAGGUAUGUGGGUUAUAAAAUGUAUUUUCAUGCAACAAAAGCUACGAAUAGAAGAGAUUACAGAUAUACUGCAAAUAUAAUUUGCAGUGUAUAUAUAAUUACGUAUCAUAUAAGAUUGAGCCAAACUCGAAAUAGGUAUAACAUUCUUUAGUUUUAUGAGUCGAGUAUGAGCCUCAUCGUAGAAUCCAAAGCUCAAAACAAGAAAGUCUAAAGUUCUACUUUUUGGUGUCAACUGAACUUAGGUCUAUCAGAUAUUGACUCCAAAAACUCAAAUUGACUGCUCCUACACAUUAUGUCUUAUAGAUGCAAAUGUGCAUUUUGUGUUCAAACAUAGAAUAAAGGAGCACAUUGUCUCAUUUAAAUAACCGGAUUGUUUAAAUCUGAUUUGGUUGUCUUGUGAUGAAGUACUUAAAUAGUUUUAACAUUAGCAUCCUUCUCUCUAUGACGACACAUUUUCAUUAAAAAAAUGGCCAUAAUAUCUAUACUAACUGAGUAAUUGCAAUAGGAGUGUGAGUAGCAGGCACUAUUCUUGACGAAGAAGAGGACUUAAAGUUCCUUGACUAUCAUAAGUAAGCUAGCCUUUAUUUGAACCAACUAGGCAAUCUUAUGCCGUGCAUUGCGCAGUAAUACAAGAUUUGUGUCCCUCCAUCUUUGAAAAAUUUAUGCAUUUUGUUUUUAUAGUUGUUAUAUGCAUGUUAGUAAUAUAUUUUUGAAAACAAAAAGAUUUGGGAAAAGGUUAGUAGAAUUUAAUUAAAAUUUGAUGAACAUAAUUUGUAUAUCGAUACAGAUGACAAAUAUUUUUGAAUGGUAUAUUCUUAAUGUGCAUAACUUUAUAUGAAGAAAAGGAAGGAUUAGUAUUAUAUGAAAUAAAUAAAGAAAGUUUAGUUACAAUGAAGAUGGUGUUUAGCAAAUAUUAGGCGCAUUUAGGAGAAUCAAUGGGAAAUUUGUAAUGAAUAAUAGUUAAUGCCAGACUGGUAUUAAUUUAUUGCCUUGUUACAUUAGUAUCUGGAAUAGCUAUAUUUUGAUAGAGUAUUAAUUUUAUCACAAACUAAUUGUUAAAAGUAUAUUUAAUUGAGGAUUAAGUAUUGAGUUACCAGUAACUAAUCACCAUCUAAUCUAUUCAUAACAUUAGUAAUCAGUCUACUAAUUAUAACUAAAACAUUGGGAAAGUGUAGGCAAUUAAAUCUAAAGUAGGUGUCAAAUGCACACAAAUUAAGUGAAAAAAAAUUUUACAAAAAGAGUAGGAGAAUCAGAGCAAUGGCAUUAAAAUAGAAAAAAGAACAACAAAAGGGAAAUGAAGGACACAAAAUAGGGAUAAUAAGCUUGGCAAUCAAAAAUUAAUAGCCUUCAUAUAGAAUACAAGAUGUAAAAGAUAGCACAAACAUACUUCAGACAAAAUUUGCAGUCUUUGACAUAUAGAGGGCUGAAGAAAAAAAGAGCAUAGGUCAAGCACCAAUAGAUUAGAGUAUUCAUAAUCUCAAAAGUACUAUAGCCUAAUGGCUUACUGUGACAGCCCCACCUCCCCUAAGGCGAACCAAAGGGUUUGGCGGACAGCCUGCCCAACUCUCGCCGGGAUUCAGUCGCUCACUUCAAUCCUCAGUCAAAACCAGAACAAACCCAUAAGAAUAAACAUAACAACGAUCCAAAACUUAAAACAAAACUUAUAUACAUUGAUAUCUCAAAAGGAAGUACAACCGUCGAAUAUAUAGAGGUUCUCAAUUCACCGUACAACCAGCCCAUGCCAAGCACUAGGGCGAGAACCAUUACAAAAAAAAAUCAAGAGCUAGACCAAGCUAGUCUAUACAGGCUGUCGUCCUUGCUCGCCUUCCCCUAUUAAGGAAAACAAAACUAAAGGGAUGAACUAAAAGCUCACUGAGGUUCCGAACACAUAGGCAAACAAGAAGUUCAAUUCAUUCAUUACAUAUAACCAACAAUUCAAGAUACAUUUAUGAUAUAAAACGAUAAACACAAUCAAUAAAAGGAUAUGUGCUCACAGGGAACCAUUCAUUCGUUCAUUCAUUCAUUCGUUAUCCUUUCAUUCCCUUAUUCCUCCAAUCGUUUGAAAAUACAUUUAGAUAAGUAAAACCCCUCAUUUGCAUGGACAUUUGUUCGUUCAUUUCAUUCACCCCCUUCCCGGAUAUUGGCCAGACUUCACCAGACUUCAGGGUAAUACUCGAGUAUACCAAACAGUUACCCAAGGUCACCAUAUCGCCCGACCGAGUCUGCUUCUGGCUCGAGUCGAUCGGUAACGAAGGGCAGGGCCCAGUUCAGCCAAAAGGCUUACAUUCAUGCACAACUAACAUUUAAUCACUUCAACAUUAAAAAUUUCACAUUUCAUUUAGGUCGAGUGCGAUAAAUUACACACUCGCCUAUAAAACUCGUUUUGGCAAUCAUUGAACACAUUUAACAUGUUAACACCCAUUCAUACAAGUUAACAAUCAUUCAUACAAGCCAUGUAAUCAAGAAGGUAUAACAAACAAGGAACACUCACCUAUUUACUCAAAACAAUGUGCAAAAUAUCCUUCCGGAUAUUACCGUCAGUCAUCGAGAAAAUCUAAAAUUCAACGAGAAAGAAUAUCACAAUUCAUCCAGCAAAACAAGUAAGUGAAAUCGAAGAAAAAUCCGACUAAUGCCGAGUAAAAUGUAUAAGAACGCCUUUAAAGUGAAAAGAGGCCAUUUGGAUCUGUGGACGGAAAUAACUAGAGUUUCAUAAAGUAACCGCAAAACCAAACUCAAAAGGGUUAUAAAAUUUCCGGCGGAAAACACUUGGACCAAAGUCAAAUCGGAAUCCAACUGGAUCAACUAAGAAAUAUUGUUUCGGACUCGUUUAUAUGACUCAAAAGCAAUAUAUAUUCAAGUGGGCAUUAUACGACCAAGCCUUGAUGAAAAUCAUGUGAAAAAGGGGGACAAAAAUACUUUAACUUCCACACUUAAAACCUCACUUAAAAGUAAUUCACUUGUGGCCGAUAACACCCUAACUCAUACCUCUCUAUUUUGGGAAGGGCAUAAGGAAACAUUUGAAGUUUCAAACGGAAAAGGUAUCAUGUCUUAAAAUGGUAAAACGGUCACAUUAUUUGCCGAGCGAAAUAUACAAGUUCAUAUAGAAACUUAGCCCUCGAACACCUGUUGAAAGAACUGAUGAAAUUUUGAAGGAAAAACGUCCAACUCGACACAAAUCACAUUUGCAAAAUCACUUUAACUCAUUUACAAGACAAGAUAAGGAAACGGACAGUAUUUCCCCUAAUUUUCUUCACUCUCACCCUACAAAUAAAAACCAUUCUCAUACCAUUAAUUACAAUCACACAUAUGGUCCAUAGGUAAUAAAACAUAUCUAAUUAGGGCACAAAACCCUCAAUCAAAGCCAAUUAGAGACUCAAAAGCCAACCAUAAGAAAACCCCCAAAAUAAAACCCUAGAACCGGGAUUUAUCCUCACAAGCGUAAAUUUUUCGCAAUCAACCGCAAUUAAUGCACAAAGGUUCCAUUUAACACCAUCUCAAUCCAUCAAUCCAAGACCAAUCCAUGACUUUCAUAUAAAAUCAAAAAAUUCCCAAUAAAUCAGAAAAUGGUCCAACUUGACCUAAAACCAUGAAAUCAUCAACAAUAUAGUAUCUUUAACCUUCACAAUCCAUCAAUAUACCAUUAUUCAAACAAAACAAUAACUUUCUUAGCAACUCACCUUACAAUUCAAGAAAGGUAGGAACUUAGAGUUUCACUCCCAAAAACAACUCCACAAUCACCUUUAUUCCUCCUUAGUAUACCUUUGUAUAGAGUGGUUCGAAAAUCCAAUAGUGAAAUAUCAAGAUUCAAGUAAAAAUUGAAGUUGGAAAAUGAAUAGCUUUUCCUGCUUUCUCUCAAGACCCACGGUUGAGCUAAGAAAGAAAUGAAGAUAGAAGAAAAAAUGUAUAAUACAUCACAGAAACAAAAAAAUGAAAAAUUAAUCAUAAACACAUUUCUCAACCCACCUUUUUAUAUUUCCAAUUACUUUUUUAUCUCACAUACAUUCCAUCAUAAAAAGUACAACAGUAAUUAUUUCAAAUAAUACUCUAUCCAAACAAACCAUUUAAUUCUUCUAGGGAGGGACAAUAUUUUCAUCUCUCUGUCUUAUAUCCAUGCUACUUUCAUAGUAGACACUAACACCCUAGCAAUUCACAUUGCUUAAAGAAAUUCUUCUCCAUAUAUAAAUGACAAAUGAAAGGCAUCUAGAAAAGAUUCUCGCCACCUCCUACAUAACCCUUCUAAUUUAGACAAUACCUUUAUUUAUUUUUUUGAAAGGGCUGAAUUAUGGUGUUCAAGGCGAGUUCUUCCGAUUGAGAUUCGUUUGAAUUCUAACUUUUACUUUUAGAUGAUUUGCAUCCUAAACUUAUAAAAAUUUUCAAAUCUCUACAAUGACUUUCACUGUUAGAGUAAAGUAGAUAAAAGCACAUGAUUAAACUCUUUUUCUUGAGAUUAUUAGAGAAUAAUAUCCUUUUUAACUUCAAAUAGGAAAUAUUUUGUGGUUUGUGUAUAUCGGCGUUACUUGUAUAUAGUGUGUUGUAUAUGUAGUGUAUAAUUGUAUAUUGUUUGGAACUCUAGUUAAUAGUGUGUUGAAUUGUGGUAAUUUACAAUUAACUAGGUGGCUUUGCUUUGCUCUUUGCGCAGGGUUGCCCAUGAUUUGGUAAUGGUGUCUUUUUUGUUUUUGGGUCAUGUGUUUUAUGGCAAUAAGAAAAUGUUAAGUGAUGCAGUUAGUUGGCUAGUAAUAAAGUUUAAUAAUAUUAUUAUCGAAAUAUUUAUUAAUGAAAAAAAUAUUUAUUAUGCAAUCAUUCGCUAUAGUAUGCUUAUUAAUAGAAAUUACUAAGGAAAAAAGCACACUGAAGAGAAAUAAAAUAGAGGGGAAAAUGGGAAAUAAUUGAAAAAAAAUCAAUGAUGAUGAUAUAGAAUAAAAAUAGAUAUUAUUAUUGUUAUGCUAUUGAAAUGAAGAAAUAGAUAAAUAAUGGAUAAAAAUAUUAGUGAUGAAUGUGUGUAAAGAACAUUAAAAUUGAAGGGAUCUUUUUUAAUUAUUUCAUAAAUGAAAAAAAGGAAAACAAUUUUGAAAUGCAGAGGAAUCUAAAUACAAAGGGAUUUGGAGUGGGAGUGGUAGUAAAAUAUUUCACUGAAUUAAAACUAGAAAAGGAAAAAACUCUAAAAUGCAGAGAAAUGUGAAGUAAAAUAUAUAAAAUAAUUUUUUAAAUCAUGCGCUUUGUAUUCAACUGGAGUUCAAUAUGUUCAAUUAUACAUGAUUUAAUGUUUUUGUGAGGAAUUGGGAGGUAUUUGGAGCAUAAUUAACACUAAAUUGUUUAACUAAAUUCAAAGGGAAAAAGGAAAAAAUUUGAAAUUUAGAGAAAUUUGGAGUAAAAUCUAGGAGAUGAUUUUUUAAAAUCACGUCAUGUUUAUUCAAUUGGAGUUCACCAUAUCCAAUAGAAAAGAUAUCAUUAUUAUUAUACUAUUAAAAUUAAGGGUGCGUUUGAUAAAACUGAAAUAUGAAAUAUGAAAACUGAAAUAUGAAAUCUAAAUCCAUUAAAUUAUUGAAUUGUUAAGUAUUAAAUCAAAUACAUUUGAGUGUAUAUCAUAUUCAGUGAUAAGCUUUGAGUGUAUGUCAUAUUCAGUGAUAAGUGAAUAGCUUAUCACUUAUUUUUUGGAGCAAGUUUUGCCUAGAGAAUCUAGUGUUAUUUAAUUCAUAUAGAUAUUCAAUUUUUGGUUAUCAAACAUGUUUGAACAUAUUAAAAUCUGAAUUCAUUAAGUUUAAAUGCUGAAUUAGUUUAUCAAACAAGGGCCUAAGUAAUAAACAACUAAUGUACAUAAACAAUAAUAGUAGAUUUGUCAAGAAAGCAUUGAAUAAGUGUCUAAUUAGGUGAUCCUUUUUUUCUUUUAAUAUAAAUAGAAAAUAUGUGGAAUAAAAUUUAUAAAUUUGCAACAAAUUUCAUGGAAUCUUUAUUGCACCGUUCAUUUAUUAGCAUCAAUACAAAGUAAUCCAUUCAUCCUACUUUGAUAGUUUUUUUUUUCAUCCAUCCUAAAUUAUAGUUCACAUUCCAAUUGAAAAAUAUAAUUAAAUUGUAAUUUCACUAAAAUAUCUUUGUUUAAUGUACUUUAUUAUCAAUGAGUAUAACUUACUUUAUUCAUUAAAUGCUUAGAUUCAUGGUUUGAAUGGUACAAUCUUUUAUAGUAUUGUUAUUGUAAUUAAUGUAAAGAUUUAGUGAGUAGUGAUUAGUGAUACUUCUGAUAUUAGUUUAACGGUACUUUAAGAAAAUAGUAGACUGAAUUUACUUUUUUAACAAAAUUAACUAGCUUUUCUUAAACUAUGUACAAAAUAGAAAAAUAUCAAUAUAGAACAGAGGGAGUAAUUAGGACACAAUUUAUCAAGCAAAAAGCUUUUCAAAGGAGCGAGCAAGAAAAAAUAAAUUCACUCUUCCAUUGUCUAUGUGUAGUCAUUUCCAGCCGUUAAACAUUAAUUUUCUAUUAUCUAAAAGUCAUUGAAACAAUUGGAGUUCAGCGCAUUUGACACUAAAAAAAUAUUAGCAUAAUUAUUUUUUUAGCAAUGAAGAAAUAAAUAAAUGGUGCAUAAAAAUAGUAAUAGUUAAUGUAUCCAAAGAGCAUUAAAUUAGUGUCCAAUCAAGAAAGUUUCUAUAUUUUCACUAAUAUAGAGGAAUUUGGAGCAAAAUGUAUCGUGAUUUUUUUUUGUUAGAUUAUUAGAUUAUGUUCAUUAUGGCAAGCAUCUUUCACUAAUAUAGAGAAAUUUGGAACAAAAUUUAUCCUGAAAAUUUUCAUUACGCUAUGUUUAUUAAUACAAGUAAGAGUUAGGGAAAAAGCCAUUUAAGGAGGGGAAAAACUCAUAGAAACAGGCAAGAAAUAAUGAAUUUGCUUUAUAUGUUGGCUAUUUAAAAGGUACAUAAGUAAUUAAAUCUCAUGAUUAUUUUUUACCAAGACUUUAUCUGUUGUUUGUUUAAUCAUUUAUUGCUAUUAUUACUUUUUGACUAUUUAAAUGCAAGUAAUUAAAGCUCACCAUACUUCGUUUUCUUUUUUAGUAAUAUAGAAAAAUUUCAAACAAAUUUGGUAUUAAAAUAUUCAAUUGAAUUUGGAACAAAAUUAUACUAAUUUUUUUUAAUUUGUGCAAAAAUUGUUAUAGAAGUGGCCAAUCAAGGGAGCCUUUAUUAUUAUUAUUAUUAUUUUUUGGUCAAGAGUGUGGACAAAUUUUAGAGCAGAUUUUUUUAGUGAGGAAUGUAGACAAAAUUUGGGGCGGAACUCAUAUUAAAAUGUUAAUCUAAAUUUAUAUUUUCCUAAUGGCUGAAAAAGAUAAUAGUAUUAGUCCAAAAUUAGAUAUGAUGUCUUUUUUUUAUUAAAUUCAUAUGGCUCAAGGCAUGGCAAAACAGGAACAAAUUGUGGCUCAUCAUGCGUUUUUUUCAGGCUUAGAUCAUGGCAAAAUCGAAAUAAACUGUUGCUUGGGGGGGCAUUAAAAACCCACAUGCGGCACAACGGCGUAGGACCGGCGAAUUGACCAAAAAAAAGUGCAAUGGAUUGAUAACUUUAGGCUUAGGUACAAUUAAUUUGUAGCAGACGAAAAUUUAGAGGGCAAAAUAGGAAUUGUAAACAACAUUUGCAUCGGUGGACUUAGAAAAGUACGUGGGGUGCGUUUGGAUAGCAAUUUUUUUUACGGUAAUUUAAAAAAUUGCUACGUUUUUUGGUGAAUAUCUUUAAAUAAUUUAUUUUAUUUUAUAUAUAUAUUAAAUAGUUACGGUAAUUUUUCUGAAAAAAAUUAAAAAAAUGUAAUUCAAACAAAUCUUUAACAUUCUUUGCACCUAUAUAUUACAUGUAUGUGUAUUCCAGCGCGUCGCCUGUCGGAGGGAUUGAACAGUUGGAACAUUUCCCUUCUUGGUUUGCCUCUCUCAUUUUCCUUGCUUCAAAGUUCAUCGGGAUCAUUUUCCUUGCUUCAAAGUUCAUCGGGAUUGAGUGAGGACUAAGCACGACGAUCAUGCUUCAUCUCUCUCUCAAUUUCCAGGCUCAUUUGACUCUCCAGAAAACCCAGUCUUACCGUUACAGGAGACCUCUCAUCUCUGCUUCAGGUUGGUUUUUAUGUCCCUCUAUGUUAGUAUUCUAUUUAUUUGGCAUAAAAGAAAGAGAAGAAUCCACCGUUCUACUGGAAAACGAUUUCCAACAUCUAAUUCCUUCUAUGAGAAAACACUUGCAUCCAAAGGAUGGUUUAAACUUUUUAUCUUAUAUCAUGAAUGUCAUACAGAUGGUCGAAUUUGUAGUUUCAAGUCAAAAGAUCAUUAAUAGAAAAGAAGAUUAGUACUUCAUUUCAUCUUCUCUGAUAUAAGGAUUUUGCUACUUACCCACUCAAAGACCCUGACAGAUUUGCCCUGAUUGUGAAGAUGAAAUGAAGAAAGAGCAAUUAAUUAAUUCCGGUGUGUUUCAAUAUGAAAAUGAAAAGCUAUGGCAAGCUUUCAAAUGGGUUUGUGUUUUGAGGAUACACUCUGAAGAAGGUGAAGAAGAGUGUAGUUUAACUGCUGUUUUUUGUUGGUUGAUUUUUCAUCCAUAUGUGAAAAGUGAAAUAAAUUUUUUUCUAAAAAAUUUUUUAAGUGUGUUCACUUAGUGGUUGACAAACAAAGUAAAUAACAUUAAAUUGAUAUUUUGUUAAAAAGCAUGUACUGUUGAUAAGUAUUUCAUAGACACAUAUGAGACAUUUCUUUGUUUUAUUUUACAUAGUUUAAUAGGCAAAUGACUCAUACAUUCUUGAUUCUUACAACUUGUGCGCAUUAGGCGGGUGGAAUUUAGCAGGGCUAGCAAAUUUUGACUGUGGGGGCAAAGCCCAUUUUGAUAAUUCUAAUUCUAAUUUGAUAUGAUACUUGAAAGUCACCUGGUCCUGUAGGUCCAUAGGAAAAUCUAGACAAUUUUUUCAAGGUGUUGUAUGUAGUAUAUCCAUGUAGUAAUCAAUUCUUAUCUUGUGCAUUUGAAGCAAUUACCAAUUUGUUUGAAUCAUUAUAAGUUAUUUUCUCCUUUUUCAUGUUAAGCCCAGAAGACAUUAACUCUAAUUGUGCUGUUCUUCUUUGUCCCUUUUUCUUUUGAGCAGUCGCUCUGGAGACUGGAGUUCAAGGAUUAUCAUCCCCGCCUAAUUCUUCUGUCUUAGUAUGAUUUCUUAUAAACAUCUAAAUUUACUUUAUUUUUAGGGGGUUCUUGUCAUCCAUGAUGAAGUAAUUCUUUCUCUUCAAUCUCCAUGCAGUGGGUUGACCAGAGUAAAGAAAGAAUUAGGAAGCUAUUCAAUGAAGUUGACUAUUCUGUUUCUGCCUAUGAUACCGCCUGGGUAGCUAUGGUCCCUGAUCCACAUUCUUCCCAGGCUCCCCUUUUUCCCAAGUGCUUAAAUUGGUUAUUAGGUAGUCAGCUUCAUGAUGGCUCAUGGAGUCUUCCUCAUCACCAUCCCCUAUUGCUUAAAGAUGUUCUAUCCUCCACUCUUGCGUGCGUUCUUGCACUUAAGACAUGGGGGAUCGGUGAAGAACACAUCAAAAAGGGUAAUUUCUAACUGGCUUUUUCUUUUCUUUUUUUUUUGGGUGCAAAUCUGAAAUUUCUCAAGUAUAUAUGCCUCUAUGAACUUUCACUGGAUUGAUGCAAGUUCCACACUAAUAGGUGUUCGCUUUAUUGAGUUGAAUUUUGCUUUAGCAUAUGAGGAGUGCCAGUUUUCUCCAGUUGGAUUUGACAUAAUAUUUCCAGGCAUGCUUGAUCAUGCAAGAGAUUUGAGCUUAGGUUUUCAACUGGAACCCAAACUCUUAAAUGACUUGCUUCAUAAGAGGGAUAUGGAGCUUGGAAGGUACAUCUCUGUCAUGUUGUAUUGUAAUCUAAUUAUCUCUGGCUUCAUUUGACAAAAUCAUUUUUCUAGAUAUGCAUAGAGGUGUCAAAUAAGUGAUUUGAGUGGGCUUGGAUGGGUCCUAAUUGAGUAAUAGGUAUAAUUGGGUCAAUCCAUUUAUACUCAUUUAAAUAAAUGGGUACCCUUUUAUGUCCAUUUAAUAAAUGGGUAAAGGUAUAUCCAAUUACCUAUUUAUGAGUCACUUAAAAUUCUACUUUUUUUUUAAAAUUUUUCGUAUAUUAUUUAACAAGAAAUAAUGGUAUUUUAUUGUUAUUAAAUUGGUAAGAAAUUCAAAUUUAUUUGUUUAACACUCACUAAAAUUGAGUUUAAAUAUAUAAUUAUUUUUAAAUGGGUAUAAAUGGGUGAUCUGAGUCAACCCACUAUCUAUCAAUUAAACAGGUUUAAUUGGAUACCCAUUUAGGCCGAUUCAAAAUUAACGGGCAGGUUUGGACGGGUUUAGGUGAGUCAACAUAAUUAGGUUGUGAUUGAUACAUACAGUGGAGCCUAAUGGUGCUAUAUGAGUAAUUAUUAUAAUGUAAAGUUCUUUUGGAAGAAGUAGAAUAUCUAAGCUGUGAAUUGGAAUAAAGAGCCAAAGAGCAAUGCGGUAAUCCUUCCUAAAAUUUUGGACUAUUUUCACUUUGCACCCCUAACAUCUUCAAGCAUUCUUACUUUUCACACUUACAUUUGUUUUGAGAACUGCACCCAAAGUUUACCACAACAUCCCAAAUCACCAAAAAUAUUCACAAUGCAAAUAAAAGAAGGCAAAAAUUUAAUGGUGCAUGCAAUUUUCUUGAUUUUUGAUAGACUGAUGUCACUAUUAAUUCCACCCCAAGGAUGCACGUAUUUCAGGUGGAGUACUUGAAGAAUUUUCACCUACUUUUCUUAAUUAGUUUAUAUUAACUGGCGUGGUUUGAAACAAAUUGGUAAAUUGACGGUGCUAAGUGUUUACAAAAAUGUUUAAGGUGUGAAGUGGCAGUAAUUGGUAUCUUUGGGAGACAGAUUGACCAAUGUAUAUAUUUGAAAAGGUAGAUAGGAUGAAGAAUUUUUUAAGCAAAAUGAUUUUGCAAGAAGAAGUUGAAUCGAACAAUUAUGAAUGUUGAAGUAGUCAUUAUCAGGUCAAUCAAGUAGCAUGAUUGAUUAAUUUGGUCGGAAGAAUAAAUUAGUUUAAAAUUGGUUAUUUGUAGGGGCAAAAACUUGUGUAGAUUCGGUCUGCAACCCCACUCGUAGAUUGAGUAGUGUCAAAUUUGCCACAUCCUGUGGAAUUUAAAUGUUUAGAAAUCAUGGCAACACAUUGAUGACAGACUUUACUCAUCACUGGAUGGCACCUUACUCAUGCUGCCUUGAUUGAAACCUCAGCCCACCACCACCAACCUUCACCUUCAACGCUUGGAACCUCAAAACCCCACAUUCUUUAUCCUUAAUCUCCAUCAAAUCUGCUGCCAUUGUCAGCUUUGUUUUCUUCCAUGUCUUCUUCUCCUCUUUCCACAAAACAUAAGGUUGGGAUUCCAAAUUAUUUCUUAUCUACAUGGAUUUUCAAGAAAAUCCAAAUGUUAUUCCCAAUAUUUCAGAACAAAAUUUAAUCAGAAAUCAAAAGCAAAAGAAAAGAGAAAAUCAAGAUUGUGGCAUUGGAGGUUAUUUUUUUUCGGUUUGGAGAUCUUGCCAGGAAUGGAGAUGAGUUGGGAAAGAAGGUAGGAAGAAAGUUUAUUUGUACGUAUCUUGAUCUUUAUGGUAUCUCUAAUUUUUUGAUUUGUAUGGUUAGUAGCUCUUUUUUUGGUGCAAAGCUUUCCAUUUAUAUCUCUAAACACUCAAGUUUCAAGGCUGUGUAUUAGAGAUACCUAUGGAAUAUUGACCAGUUUAGGUGUCUCUCUCUCAUUUUUUUUUUUACACUGCUUGAAACUAUUGUGAGUUUAUCUGUUUAUGUCAUUAAAAUUGUAAAUUUGUAGUGGAACUCAAUUUUACUGUGGGGUGAAAGCUCCAAUAGGUUUGAUUCAAUCUACAAAAAGGACAAAGGAUUGAUUUUGGGUUUUUUGAAGUUUGAAUGUUGAGGACCAAACAAAGUGCCGGAGAUGAUUUUGGGGUUGGGGAAAGGGGGGAAGGAAGGGAGGCAGUAAGAUGUUUUGAUAAUGGUGGUGGCGGUAACCGGUGGAUGUGCAGGAGUGGUGGGAGUGGGAGAGGGAAGAAGGAGGCGAGGGGGGAAGUGAGGAAGGGGUUUGGAUAAUAUUGGUGGCAAUAAGCAGGUGGGCGUUUGCAGAAUCCUUGGGGAAGAGGAAGUGGGGAAGGCAUAGUUCUUAACUGGAGAGUGAUUGGUUCAUCAGGGUAUCAAUUCAAUCAGGGGUUGGAUAGUUCAAUCAUGAGUUGGACAAUAAUUAUAUUAUAUAAUAUAAUAAUAUAAUUUUAAAUUAUAAAAAUAAUAAAAUUUUGAAUUGAUGGUUUAAUCAACAGUUCAAUCGAUGGGUUUUUUUCAAAUCAUCAGUUGAACUGUUGAAUCGUUGAUUAGUCAAUAGGUUUGUUGUUUGAUUAAUCUAAUUAAUGACCCAGUUCGGUCUUAUGACUAGUUCAUUGAGUUGAUCGGUUCAAUCGUCAAGUUGGGCCGAAUUUUAUAACUGUGGGAGAAGGGAUGUUCACGAUGGUGGUGGACAGGAGGCGGUCAUUAGGUGGCAGUGGAAGGUAGGUGCGGAGGAAUUGCGCUGAGGACAUUGUGAAAGUUGAGAAAGUGAGACAUCUUGGACUAAAAAAAUCACAGGAUGAUGUGGCAUUAUUCAUACCACUCGAUCUACGCGGUGGGCCUGUCAAGUUUUUGCCAUUUAUAGGGGCUAUUCUCAAUUAGUUUAUGUGUGGUUUUAUGGUUUCAUUAAACAAAUAAUUUGUGCAGCAACUUAAAUUUUGUAAUAUUAGUAGCAUUAUAACACUAAGAAUCUCAAAGAUAGGAUGUUCAUUGUAGUAAAAUAAAUAAAUAAAUAAGGACACAUGUGAUUCAUAAUUUGCCUCUAAGCCCCUAAAGUAUCUAUCUUUUCUUUGUUGCUCUAAUCAUUUAGAAUCCGUGAGAGCCACUCAAAGAAGAGUGAGGCAUUCUUGGCAUAUGUAUCCGAAGGAUUGUUAAAGUUACAAAAUUGGGAUAUGGCCAUGAAAUUUCAAAGGAAGAAUGGAUCACUCUUCAAUUCACCUUCAGCAACUGCAGCUGCUGCUAUUAAUGUCCGAAAUCCGAGUUGCCUGAAUUACCUUUAUUCGGUUAUUGACAAGUUUGGCCCUGCAGGUCUCUUUAUUUUCAAUGUACCCAAAUUGAUACUUACAUAGCUAUCUUAUGCUUCCUUACUGCUGCUGCUGCUUCUUUUUGUUGCUUUUUUCAGUCCCAGCAGUUUACCCUUUGGAUAUAUAUGCACGCCUUUGCCUGGUUGACAAUCUUGAGAAGAUGGGUAUUUCUCAAUAUUUUACGAAUGAAAUUCAGUGUGUAUUGGAUGACACAUACAGGUAAUCUUCUGAUCUAAAAUUAUGGGGCAUAAUUAAUAAACUUGCUUGGCUUAAUUUUUUUUUUUUUUUACCAAAUAGGGUAAUGAACCUUAAAUUAAAAGUUCACAAUUGCAUGUGGUUUCACAAGUCAAUAUCUUAGUUAAUAUCAUUCCAAUGCUAUCUUAGGCCAACACUUGCUCAAAACAUGAAUUGCAUGCAUUAAAUAUCUAGAAGCAAGUUGUCGAUGGAUUUUUCUUGAUUGGUUCAACUUAUUGACAAUUAAUAACAUCCACAAAAAAAAAAGAUGCUGGCUGCAGGGUGAGGAAGAUAUAUUUGCAGAAACAUCGCACUGUGCCCUGGCCUUCAGGUUAUUACGAAAGCAUGGUUAUGAUAUCUCCUCAGGUAACUGCUAAAGCGUUUGCACAUUUUGCUAAAUACUGGUGUGUUUUGCAGCCCCAAUGUCUUGCAUAAUUCCCACUUAGCACCAUCCAAUUUUGUUAUUGACGCCAUGAACCCAAACUUAUUAAAAAGUUCCUUGUCACCUCAAAGGCUUGCAUUUUUAGUGAUGGUAGACCAAACCGUUCUUGGUCACUCUUUUUCUUUUUGUUUUUUGGAUGAAAUUAGUAUAGACUGAAGACAAUAUUUAGCAUUGAGAAGGAAAGGUUUUGUUGUAUACCAGUGUUAUUUAUAUGUUAGCUUUAAUUGCAUGUGAGAUUAUGGUAAUUUCUUGAUUUUAAAACUUAGCCUGAACUGUCCAGUCGAACCAAUCAAACCAUUAACUGGGCUGCUUUUUGUUAUGCUUCAAAUUUGGAUGGGUUGAAAAAUCUAUCUAAAUUUUGAAAUCCAAUCGAACUGUCCAGUUGGACUAGUGAUCCAUCAAACCUUGAUUAUUUUUACUAAAUCAUUAUGGUUCGUGGUCUAAUCCAUUGUUGUUGGCUCUUAAAUACAAACAAGUAGGUCCUGUGCAUUAAAUGCAAGGAUGAGAGGGACAGGUUGUGGAGCAUUUAUACAUGUUGUCCGUAUCACUUUGGUAUUAAAUCCUCUAAUUCUUUUAAAUUUCCAAAUCUAUCCCUUUUUUUUGUUUAUUGUCCCAUUUCAUUUUUCUAAAAUUAUACUUUUAGCUUUAAAUGGUUUACAAAAUUUUGAAUUACUGAUGUGAUUUCAUGUUUCUUAUCCUCAUAACCAUUGUAAAUUUGAUAAAUGAAGAAUCAAAGCACUUCAUUUUCUUUCUUUUUUUAAAGGAAUUUAAUUUCUAAUUUAAUCGAUUGGCCAAAUAUGUAUAGAGAGGUUAUCAAUGGACUGUAUGAUAACAUAAGUAACAACUCGCCCAUUUAUUAUAUAUUUAUGAUGUGACGAGUUGGUAAUAAUUCAUUAAUGGUAAGCCCAAUGAUUUUGAACAUAGUGACCCUUGUUCCAGUAAAUUUGUGGUUGAGUUUCAAACCUUGGGUAAUUUGGCUUGAAUAUAUUUAAUUGGUAACUUUGAUGUGUAUAAUGUCCAAGAUAAAAGUUUGAGAUGCAAUGUUGUAGUAUUUGGUAACUUUAGGGUGCAAAGUGCCAAAAAAUGUUAAUGAUGCAAAUUAGAAUGACUAAAAACAUUAAGCGUGCAUAAUGAAAUUAGAUUUUUCAGUAAUUCAAGUAUCUUUUGCGUGUGCCCAUAAAUGAUAAGAAAAGAUAAAAAGGUUCUUGAUUCGAUUUUGUAGAUCCAUUAAUUGGUAUCCUGGAAGAUGAAAGCGCUUCCAGUUAUUGUUGUAAUGGAUCCUGGAACGAAGUAAAUGCUUUAGUGGAAGUAUAUCAGGCAUCACAGAUGGCAGUCCAUGAAAAUGAAUCAGCUCUAGAGAAACAAAAUUUAUUAUCGAAGCACCUCCUGAGGCAGCAUAUUUUCAAUGGCUGUGAUUCGAAGGGAUUCCCUAACCAAAUCUUCCAACAGGUAAUUCUCCUUAUAUUUAUAUUACCACAGCCUAUUUGAUGUUCUAGAAAUUUAGGACUAAUAUCACUAUGAUCACUUAAAAGUGCUCUGUUAGUUCUCAUUUUGCAUCCCAAUAUUUUAGUUUGAAAAUUUUGCAUCCUAAAAUUUUAGAUGUAUUUCGGUUUGUCCAAAUUGUCUAUAUUCAAAUGAAAUUGACAAUGAUCAUACGUUACAAUCUUUCCAUUUAUGGCAAUUGUGGCCAAUUGGUCGAAUUAUAGAAGUCCAUUGCAUGUUUCACAUGGAGUGAUAAUAAAGUUUUGUUGAUUCCAUUGCGACUAGUGAAAAUUCGGGAAAAAUGAGCAGUGUCCAAACUUGACGACUCAGAGUAUCUAAAGCAAAAAUUGGAGGUGCAGUGAGAAAAUGUCAUAAGUUUUAGGUUCCAACUAUUAUUUUUUAAUAAAAUUUAGGACUGGCAUCCUACCUGACCCUUACAUGGAGUUUUCCCAAAAAAAAAAUGUCAAAAACUUUAUUGUUGUAUAGUGGAAGCAACCAUUAUGUGAAGACGUCGUAGGCAAAUGCCAGAUUGCAGCUAUCUUCCUCGAACAGAGGGGAGCUCUGAGGAAAAAGGGAGCAACUUAACCCACCUAGUCUUGCCUUUAGAAAGGAGGAAAGAUCGGAUACUGUGGCAGUUUAGAUAGUUAAAUAGGACUGGCAUCCUCUCUGACCCUUACAUGGAGUUUUUCCACAAAAAAAAAAAAGUAAAAAACUUCUUGUUGUAAAGUGGAAGCAACCUAUUAUGUGAAGACCUCGUAGGCGAAUGCCAGAUUGCAGCUAUCUUCCUGAAACUGCCUUUAGAAAGGAAUGCAGGAAAGAUCGGAUACCGUGGCAGUUUAGAUAGUUGAAUAGGAGUGGCAUCCUCCCUGACGCUUACAUGGAGUUUUCCCAAAAAAAAAAAAAGUCAAAAACUUUAUUGUUGUAAAGUGGAAGCAACCUAUUAUGUGAAGACCUCAUAGGCGAAUGCCAAAUUGCAGCUAUAUUCCUCAUAUGGAAAAAAAUCAAAAACUUUAUUGUUGUAAAGUGAAAGCAACCUAUUGUGUGAAGACCUCAUAGGCUAAUGCUAGAUGGCAAUUAUCUUCCUCAAACGGAGGGGGAGCUUAGAGGAAAAAGGGAGCAACUUAAUCCACCCAGUCCUGCCUUUGGAAAGGAAUGCAGGAAAAAUCAGAUACUGCAGCAGUUUAGAUAGUUGAAUAGGCCUGGCAUCCUCCCUGACACUUACACGGAGUUUUUCCAAAAAAAAAAAAAGUCAACUUUAUUGUUGUGAAGUGGAAGCAACUUAUUAUGUGAAGACCUCAUAGGCAAAUGCCAGAUUGCAGCUAUCUUCCUCAAACAGAGGGGGAGGUCAGAGGAAAAAGGGAGCGACUUAACCCACCCAGUCCUGCCUUUUAAAAGGAAUGCAGGAAAGAUCGGAUACUGUGGCAGUUUAGAUGGUUGAAUUCCAAAAAAAAAAAAAAAAAGUCAAACUUUAUUGUUGUGAAGCGGAAGCAACUUAUUAUGUGAAGUCCUCAUAGGCAAAUGCCAGAUUGCAGCUAUCUUCCUCAAACAGAGGGGGAGGUCAGAGGAAAAAGGGAGUGACUUUACCCACCCAGCCCUGCCUUUCAGGAAAGAUCGGAUACUGUGGCAGUUUAGAUAGUUGAAUUCCAAAAAAAAAAAAAGAAGUCAAACUUUAUUGUU